Molecule: long non-coding RNA, 3648 nt
Filed under: Oreochromis niloticus (Nile tilapia)
Lineage: Eukaryota; Metazoa; Chordata; Actinopteri; Cichliformes; Cichlidae
Description: lncRNA (ENSONIG00000039043.1)
Source: RNAcentral
GUAUUUCCAGGCACAUUUCACGAAGCAGAACGCAGUCUUCAGAGAUAUCCACGUGAACGCUGUGAUACGUCUGACCUUCAGUCCGAAGAAGAAACCCAGACCAGUCUUAAAAGAAAGCACAAGUAAAACCCUUUUAUUCACAAACAUAUCUUUGAUUGUUAAGAAUUUAUGAUCUUGUCUUUUAUACAUAUCUGUGGUGCUUGCAUACUGCAAUAUCACCACAUAAUAUAGUCCAAAAAGUGGAAGUUUGUAAACUUUUUAAAAAUGCAAAGUCGUGUACACUUGUGCACUUCAAAAAUUCAUUGUAUACUGUACCUUCUUGCACGUCUCUGUUUCCUGUGUGUGUUGUUAGAAAUCAAACUAACUUUAGGAAACAAUAUGCCAAAAGCAUAUUUACAAUUACUUAAGACCGUUUUUAAUUUCUUUUCUUUAGACCAAAUCCCCUGUACACAUAUACGGACUCAGAGGAUGAGCAGCCUACAAAAAAACUGUUUCUUAAAAAAAUUAUCUUUUUCUAAACAGCCCUCAUCACUCCACAGUCUGCCCCCCAGCCCACUGAUAGCAACCAUCAUAAUGCCCCACCCAGCUUCCGGCACCUUUCGCCACUCCGGCACAAACCGACACAGCUUUGCGAUCUCGCCAGCAUGCAGAGUCUGAUGUCUUCCCUAUAGAUGAUUCCAGAGACUCUGUGAGGCCACUAUUACAAGGCAAGUUUGAAAAUCUUGGAAUUUCACAGUUUAGAUGGUAUGACAAAUAUAUGUGACAGGCAAAAACUAGUAAACACUUUUAGCAGUUACAAGAACUAACAAAUGAAUAGGAAUAGAAAUACAUUGUACUGCCAAUACUUUGGUUUAUUCUUUGUAUGACUUGAAAAUCAGGCUUUAGGGAAAACUAAAUGACAUGUUUCUAUCAUCAAUUACAUGAAGUAAACACACAAGCACUUGCAUACACAUUUAAGACAUGAGACACGCUAAUUCCAUCUCAUAAAAUGUGUCUAUAGGUGAGACGCUUUGCGUUGAUUGGUGCUGCUGGACCACACUGGAGGUGCGAGUCCGCCGUGUAAUGGUUUAUGCCAUUACAAAGGAGCUGGCCUCUGUACUCAACUGGGCAGGGGAAAAAAAAACAAGGACCAGACAAAGCAAAAAAGGGCAUUUAAAGAGACAGCGCUGUGCAGAUGCAUAUUUGGUAAGUUUUAACAUUUAUUGUAGUUUUAUGAGCCUAAAGUGAACAAUAAAGGGAUCAAUUGAUGUGCUGGGUGCGUUUCACAUUUCCUAUGUCUGUUUUUUGCUAUAUUACUUUGUCUUUCUUAAUAACAAGACUUUCAUGUCCGGUUAAUCUGGAGAUGGAGUCUUUGGUCUUCGGCUUGUUUUGUCCUCGGGUUGUACACUUUGUACAGCCCGAGGACCCCAUGUUUUCUUUUUUUUUUUUUUUUUUAAAGGAUACACGGCACACCAUGCUAAGACAUAUCACAUUUUCAGCUUAUAGCUCUUUGGGAAUCAAAUGCGGCAGUUUGCUGAUUUCCGCCUGGUGAUUUUCAUGUUUAUCAGCCUAGGAGUUUACAUACUUUCUCCCUGCUGAAGACCGUUAACAAGAGCUUAUUCAUGUGCUCUAAUUCCCUUUUUUUUGUCUUUGUUUUUUGUGUGUGUCUAUUUUUGUCCUAGAUGGCCUGGCGCAGCAGGUAGGGGCGAACUCUAUGUCUGAGUUGGUCUUUGCUCAAGCAGUCCAGAAAUGGCUCAGAUAUGCUCCAGAUCGUACGGGUGGCGCGCAGGACGCACAUCAUCCAUCCCCAUCCCGGAGUAAAUAAUAAAAAGUGACGUGAAACAUAGAAAUGUAAAUAGGAAACUUUGUCUUUUAAUAAAGUAUUUUGCAAAUGAUACAUGUCUAUUGACCUUUUUUGUUUUUGGGGGUUUUUUUUCAAUAAAAAGCAACUGUACGAAAGAGGUGGAAAAUCAAUACCACAGCUCAACAGUGUUUCAAUAUCAGAAUCUGACAUUGUUUCAAUGUCAACAGUGUAAGAAAAUAUAACGUCGAAUCAACGUCAGGUUUCAACAUUGAUUCAACAUCAAAACCUGACGUUGUUUCAACGUUAAAAAUGGGUGCAAGAGUGAUGUUGGGUCAACGUCACACUUCAACGUUGCUUCAAUGACGUCGCCUGAUAUUGACUCAACAUUGUCUCAAUGUUUCCUUGCUAUCUGGGUAGUCUGAUUUAAGUACGAUACCUUUGGCCAGGGAUUAAUCUGGUACAUCGCUUCACUGCAGUCUUACAUAUUAUCCCCACACCUGAAUAAAAAAUACUGAUAUUUACAUAUAACACAUUCAGCUGAUGCAGCCUGACUCAAUCUGAUUCCAGAUGUUCAGCACACACAGAGACACAGAGGGACUGUUUAAAGUUUAGUGUUAACCUGAGUCACUGAUCAUUUACAGUAUUACAGAGUCUGGCAGUCUUUGCAUGAUGUCCACGUCACUGUAAGUCUCUAGCUGACUCUCAGGUGUGACAGGUGUGCCAGCAGGAAAGAGUAAUAAUAACCUGCAUCCUGAGGUUUGUCAUGCAGGAUUAAAGGAGCCAGGCUUUGUUCACACAGCUAGGAUUGUAUUUUACACUGACCCUGGGUCAGUAUAAGUAUCAUACAGUUUAAACGAAGCACUGAAACUUGCACAUAUUUAUUACAGAUGCAUUGAAGCUAAUCGAGAUAUUUACUGUUAAUCUGUGGCUGCGAUUAAUCACUUUACUGGAAACUUUAUUAACUAGUAACUUCAUCAGUCAUGACAGAAGCUAAUAUUUCUGUCCCAACAUCGUUUAAACAGUAACAGCUUUACUACAAUAUAAGCUAACGUUUACACCGUAACUUUAAGCUAGCACCAUAAAGACGGUAAAACACGUAAUAAUAUCUACAAAUGCAUCUUAAAGCUGUUAUAUUAGCACUCGCUGUAUUACUAACAUAACCACAUUAACAUUAUUGACACUCGCUGACUUUUAAUAGUCAUUCUAUAAAUGCCGUCCGUUUAAAUGGUCUUACCUGUAACACUGCUGUAUCCACCGGAUUCCAGCCAGAGUGGAUUCUGGAGUCUUCCACGCUCCUGUUACUGAUCCUCCAUCUGGAUGGAUGAUAACAACCUUCUGAACAAUCUAGCAGGUGGAUGGCCCAUAUCUAUGGGACUGAUUUCUGCUAAUAACGCCCAUUGUAUGGACUGAUAACAGCCGAAGCGGGUGAAUAAAGUCACCCAGUUGCUAGCUGUGCCAUUACCCAGCAUACACCUCUCCCUCCAUAAAUGCAAUAAACGAUACAAAAGUAAUAGCCUAUAAUUAAUUUAGCUGCUGUAUCUGCUGUUUCUCAGGUAGUUGUUUACAUUAUAUAAUAUAUUGUGUUCAGUACACGUCACUACAAUGUGAUUUCGGAAAUAUAUAAAUAUACGAACAACAGGCUCUUCCGCGGAAAUCUCUUGUCGUCAAUAAACAACGAUUAGGGAGCUCUAUAGUAUUCAAUAGGAGGACCCUGCACGUCAAUUCUCGACGCCAGGGGGGUACCCUGCGCGUCGAUAAGUGAAGCAGAGAGAGCCUGACCAUGCGUCACACAUUUGACGAGUUGGGAGUGAGAACGUGUUGGCUUUUCAGAACAUACUGAUACUGGUGAGUGUGUGCUUGUUCAG